GAAUUUGUUGAAAACUCUGUGUCUCAAAGAGUCUAUCUGUACAGGGAUCGUUUGCAUAUGGAGGAACCACGCAAAGAGGUCAUUCUAAGCGGCAGCGUGGAAAUGGACCUUAUUAAAAAGCAGGUUUAGUUGAUUAGACAGUUUUAUCGAUACAUUAGCAUAGGGUUUUUUUUUUCACAGAAGCAACAGCAAGAAUCUUCCCUUUUGUUUUGGGCAGAUACCCCAAGAAGGUAAAGUAACAUAUAGGUGUUGUAUGUAUGCUGUAGCCGGUAGGAAAUCAAAAUGGGGUUUGCUACGUCAAAGGGAAGGUGGAUGAAUGCUGUAUUUUUUGUUGUUAUGAUACCAAAAUCUGAAUGUCUCGAGGCCCUCUCGACUAUAGUCCGAGCAUUUUGACAGUUUAUAAAUAGAACAAAGAAAUGCAUGUUUUAAAGUGAAGUUUGGCACAAUAUGCCUUUCCCAUCUCUUACAUUGUUUGAGAUUUUAGAAGAGAUUCUUCAUGUAUAAACCUUAGACCAUGUAAGUGCUCUUGAACUAUUACUUCAUAACUGAUGAAAUGAUCAACUACUUAGAGCUCUGUGUCUCAAAGAGUCUAUCCGUACAGGGAUCAUUUGCAUAUGGAGGAACCACGCAAAGAGGUCAUUCUAAGCGGCAGCGUGGAAAUGGACCUUAUUAAAAAGCAGGUUUAGUUGAUUAGACAGUUUUAUCCAUACAUUAGCAUAGGGUUUUUUUUUCACAGAAGCAACACAGCAAGAAUCUUCCCUUUUGUUUUGGGCAGAUACCCCAAGAAGGUAAAGUAACAUAUAGGUGUUGUAUGUAUGCUGUAGCCUGUAGGAAAUCAAAAUGGGGUUUGCUACGUCAAAGGGAAGGUGGAUGAAUGCUGCAUUUUUUGUUGUUAUGAUACCAAAAUCUGAAUGUCUCGAGGCCCUCUCGACUAUAGUCCGAGCAUUUUGACAGUUUAUAAAUAGAACAAAGAAAUGCAUGUUUUAAAGUGAAGUUUGGCACAAUAUGCCUUUCCCAUCUCUUACAUUGUUUGAGAUUUUAGAAGAGAUUCUUCAUGUAUAAACCUUAGACCAUGUAAGUGCUCUUGAACUAUUACUUCAUAACUGAUGAAAUGAUCAACUACUUAGAAGCUGAAAGCAGAUUGACGAGUUAAAAGUUUU
RNAcentral lists this long non-coding RNA (1160 nucleotides) under Capsicum annuum. Its description in RNAcentral is "long non-coding RNA (CANN_LNC011551)". The record is from RNAcentral. Lineage: Eukaryota; Viridiplantae; Streptophyta; Magnoliopsida; Solanales; Solanaceae.